UAGAGGAAGUAAAAGUCGUAACAAGGUUUCCGUAGGUGAACCUGCGGAAGGAUCAUUAUUGAAUGAACUUGGUAUGGGUUGUUGCUGGUCUUUUCGAAGGCAUGUGCACGCCCAUAUCAUCUUUAUAUCUCCACCUGUGCACCUUUUGUAGACUUGAGAGAGUAUUGGCCGUCAAAACGUCAGUAAUCUUGAAGCCUAUGUUUUUCAUAUACACCAUACGAAUGUAACAGAAUGUCAAUGGGACUGUAUAGUCCUAUAAAUUAUAUACAACUUUCAGCAACGGAUCUCUUGGCUCUCGCAUCGAUGAAGAACGCAGCGAAAUGCGAUAAGUAAUGUGAAUUGCAGAAUUCAGUGAAUCAUCGAAUCUUUGAACGCACCUUGCGCUCCUUGGUAUUCCGAGGAGCAUGCCUGUUUGAGUGUCAUUAAAUUCUCAACCUUUAUCUUGACUGAUAAAUGGCUUGGACUUGGAGGUUUGCCGGCGAAAGUCAGCUCCUCUUAAAAGUAUUAGCUGGUUGCCUUGUGUAAACUUGUCUAUUGGUGUGAUAAUUAUCUACGCCGUGGGCUGUUUACAAGCACUGCUUCUAACCGUCUUUUGACAAUCUUAUGACAAUUUGACCUCAAAUCAGGUAGGACUACCCGCUGAACUUAAGCAUAUCAAUA
RNAcentral lists this ribosomal RNA (660 nucleotides) under Psilocybe magnivelaris. RNAcentral's name for it is "eukaryotic LSU rRNA". The stretch from base 269 to 422 matches the Rfam family "5.8S ribosomal RNA". Lineage: Eukaryota; Fungi; Basidiomycota; Agaricomycetes; Agaricales; Agrocybaceae. The record is from RNAcentral.